GACGAACGCUGGCGGCGUGCUUAACACAUGCAAGUCGAACGGAAAGGCCCUGCUUUUGUGGGGUGCUCGAGUGGCGAAAGGGUGAGUAACACGUGAGUAACCUGCCCUUGACUUUGGGAUAACUUCAGGAAACUGGGGCUAAUACCGGGUAGGAGCUCCUGCUGCAUGGGGGGGGUUGGAAAGUUUCGGCGGUUGGGGAUGGACUCGCGGCUUAUCAGCUUGUUGGUGGGGUAGUGGCUUACCAAGGCUUUGACGGGUAGCCGGCCUGAGAGGGUGACCGGCCACAUUGGGACUGCGGUACGGGCCAGAAUCCUACGGGAGGCAACAGUGGGGAAUAUUGCAAAAUGGGGGGAAGCCUGAUGCAGCCACGCCGCGUGCGGGAUGACGGCCUUCGGGUUGUAAACCGCUUUCGACUGUGACGAAGCGUGAGUGACGGUAAUGUGUAAAGAAGCACCGGCUAACUACGUG
Molecule: ribosomal RNA, 468 nt
Filed under: uncultured bacterium
Lineage: Bacteria
Description: partial 16S ribosomal RNA
Rfam family: Bacterial small subunit ribosomal RNA
Source: RNAcentral